AUGAGUUGCUUGCUCGGAUCUUCCGUGGAGUUCUCCCGGCACACACACGGAGCACGGUGGUUGCGAUGGCUCUCCUUGCGCCGUACGGAGGAACGGAGCUGUCAAACUAAACUAAACCAAAGAGAAGAGCAGGGCAAAGCAAGAGGCAGCCAGCGAGUCGUCUUGAAGCAACGGAUUCCAUCCAUCGAUCGCCACCGGAGAGCCAGCAACAGAGCAAUCGACCGAGCGAGCGCGAGGAUGUGCUGCCUGGUGAAGUGCGGCAAGUCCACGUCGCCUCCGUCCACCGGCAGAUCCCCGAGGGCCAGCACUGCGCCUGCCGCGACUGGCCGGGCGUCUCCGCCGGCGGCGACAAGGCCGCCGGCUCCACCUCCGGCGCCGUCGAGGAGUCCUCCACCUGCGCUAUCCUGUGAUGUAAGGUACGGGCCGGGCCGUGGUCGGCGAAUCAGCAUCGGCCGUUCGUUGACUUCCUCGCCGAUCCAAAGCCGUGGUGCAUCGCCUACACUCGUGUCAGUGUGCGGCAUCUCGUUGUAA
Molecule: ribosomal RNA, 531 nt
Filed under: Triticum aestivum (bread wheat)
Lineage: Eukaryota; Viridiplantae; Streptophyta; Magnoliopsida; Poales; Poaceae
Description: partial small subunit ribosomal RNA
Source: RNAcentral